Nematolebias whitei (Rio pearlfish) is the source of this 223-nucleotide long non-coding RNA. RefSeq lists it as uncharacterized. The transcript has 3 exons. Lineage: Eukaryota; Metazoa; Chordata; Actinopteri; Cyprinodontiformes; Rivulidae. The record is from RefSeq and is a predicted model, not a curated record.
AGGUCUCGCAGGUUUUGCUGCUGAGUUUUGAAGCGCCGCAGCUCGGAGAGCGCACCGCACCGCGCGCACUUCGAUGACAGCGAGAGGAAGAGAGAGCGAGCUGUCUGUGUGCGCGUCUGAAGAGCUGAGGACAAGAGUCUGAUCUGAGCCCCCCCGUGACAAGAAAUGAAGCUCCUGAUCUGGGUCCUGGCGGUGGUCCUGCUGCUGAGACCUGCGCACGGAG